AGCUUUGCGCAGUGGCAGUAUCGUAGCCAAUGAGGUUUAUCCGAGGCGCGAUUAUUGCUAAUUGAAAACUUUUCCCAAUACUGGAUCUUAUUUUUGAUUCAGUAUGAGGAAAUUCCUCUUUAAAGUCAUUUUU
RNAcentral lists this small nuclear RNA (133 nucleotides) under Marmota marmota marmota (Alpine marmot). Its description in RNAcentral is "U4 spliceosomal RNA (ENSMMMG00000011509.1)". It matches the Rfam family "U4 spliceosomal RNA". Rfam says of the family: U4 small nuclear RNA (U4 snRNA) is a component of the major U2-dependent spliceosome. The record is from Rfam by way of RNAcentral. Lineage: Eukaryota; Metazoa; Chordata; Mammalia; Rodentia; Sciuridae.